CAGUAGCCACGGUAACACGGAGGGUGCAAGCGUUGUCCGGAUUUAUUGGGUUUAAAGGGUGCGUAGGCGGCUAUUUAAGUCAGCGGUGAAAGACUCCGGCUCAACCGGAGCAGUGCCAUUGAUACUGGAUAGCUUGAGUGUUGGAGGGGUACAUGGAAUUGAUGGUGUAGCGGUGAAAUGCAUAGAUACCAUCAGGAACACCGAUAGCGAAGGCAUUGUACUGGCCAACAACUGACGCUGAGGCACGAAAGCAUGGGGAGCGAACAGGAUUAGAUACCCGCGUAGUCCCUGUCUCUUAUAC
RNAcentral lists this ribosomal RNA (301 nucleotides) under uncultured bacterium. RNAcentral describes it as "partial 16S ribosomal RNA". It matches the Rfam family "Bacterial small subunit ribosomal RNA", at positions 509 to 807 of the family's 1533-position model. The record is from RNAcentral.